CGAGCACGCGCGUGUGGCAUAUCAAUAAGCGGAGGAAAAGAAACUAACAAGGAUUCCCUUAGUAACGGCGAGUGAAGCGGGAAGAGCUCAAAUUUGAAAUCUUCAAGGUUCCACCUUGACGAAUUGUAGUUUAUAGAAGUGUUUUCUGCUAGUGGAGUGGCAAAAGUUCUUUGGAAUAGGACAUCAUAGAGGGUGAGAAUCCCGUAUUUGGUCAUUCCUCCUAGCGUUGUGAUACACUUUCAACGAGUCGGAUUGUUUGGGAAUGCAGUCCAAAAUGGGUGGUAAAUUUCAUCUAAAGCUAAAUAUUGGCGAGAGACCGAUAGCGAACAAGUACCGUGAGGGAAAGAUGGAAAGAACUUUGAAAAGAGAGUUAAACAGUACGUGAAAUUGUCAGAAGGGAAGCGUUUGACACCAGUGUUGUUUUUCCGAAAAUCAAUUACGAAUGUUUUAUUUUUGAGGAAGUUAUGACUUCAUCGGCUUGCUUCCUUUCUUUAUGAAACUUUCUUAAUGCACUUUUCGGUUAACAAGUCAACAUCAAUUUCUUUUGUUGUAAAAGGGUAUGAGGAAGGUGGCUUUCUUUUCGGAGAAAGUGUUUAUAGCCUUGUGCCUCUGCAAUCGGAGAGAUUGAGGUCUGCAGCGUAGAUCCUUCGGGGUUAGAUACGUUUGUGCUAAGUUAUAGCUUUUCAUAGACAACUUGUUGACUAUGUUUAGUCUUGUAGCUUACUCGCUGACGCUAUUUUACCUACGCUUAGGAUGUUGAGCGCAUGUCUCUCUCU
Molecule: ribosomal RNA, 776 nt
Filed under: uncultured Neocallimastigales
Lineage: Eukaryota; Fungi; Neocallimastigomycota; Neocallimastigomycetes; Neocallimastigales
Description: partial large subunit ribosomal RNA
Rfam family: Eukaryotic large subunit ribosomal RNA
Source: RNAcentral